RNAcentral lists this ribosomal RNA (270 nucleotides) under Mesorhizobium sp. RNAcentral's name for it is "partial 23S ribosomal RNA". It matches the Rfam family "Bacterial large subunit ribosomal RNA", at positions 1 to 264 of the family's 2925-position model. The record is from RNAcentral. Lineage: Bacteria; Pseudomonadati; Pseudomonadota; Alphaproteobacteria; Hyphomicrobiales; Phyllobacteriaceae.
GUUAUAUGGUCAAGUGAAGAAGCGCAUACGGUGGAUGCCUUGGCAGUCAGAGGCGAUGAAAGACGUGGUAGCCUGCGAAAAGCUUCGGGGAGUCGGCAAACAGACUGUGAUCCGGAGAUGUCUGAAUGGGGGAACCCAGCCAUCACAAGAUGGUUAUCUUGCACUGAAUACAUAGGUGCAAGAGGCGAACCAGGGGAACUGAAACAUCUAAGUACCCUGAGGAAAAGAAAUCAACCGAGAUUCCCUUAGUAGUGGCGAGCGAACGGGGAC